UACGGGGGGGGGCAAGCGUUGUUCGGAAUUACUGGGCGUAAAGGGCGCGUAGGCGGCCUGCUAAGUCGGACGUGAAAUCCCCCGGCUCAACCGGGGAACUGCGUCCGAUACUGGUGGGCUCGAAUCCGGGAGAGGGAUGUGGAAUUCCAGGUGUAGCGGUGAAAUGCGUAGAUAUCUGGAGGAACACCGGUGGCGAAGGCGGCGAUCCUGGACCGGUAGUUGACGCUGAGGCGCGAAAGCCAGGGGAGCAAGCGGG
This 256-nucleotide ribosomal RNA is filed under the name uncultured bacterium. RNAcentral's name for it is "partial 16S ribosomal RNA". It matches the Rfam family "Bacterial small subunit ribosomal RNA", at positions 524 to 776 of the family's 1533-position model. The record is from RNAcentral.